RNAcentral lists this transfer RNA (72 nucleotides) under Dyadobacter jiangsuensis. RNAcentral describes it as "tRNA-Glu". It matches the Rfam family "tRNA". From Rfam's summary of the family: Transfer RNA (tRNA) molecules are approximately 80 nucleotides in length. Lineage: Bacteria; Pseudomonadati; Bacteroidota; Cytophagia; Cytophagales; Spirosomataceae. The record is from RNAcentral.
CGCCCAUUCGUCUAGGGGUUAGGACAUAAGAAUUUCAUUCUUAAAACAGAGGUUCGAAUCCUCUAUGGGUUA